This 422-nucleotide ribosomal RNA is filed under the name uncultured bacterium. RNAcentral describes it as "bacterial SSU rRNA". It matches the Rfam family "Bacterial small subunit ribosomal RNA", at positions 355 to 774 of the family's 1533-position model. The record is from RNAcentral.
UGAGGAGUAUUGGGCAAUGCCCGCAAGGGUGACCCAGCAACGCCGCGUGGAGGAUGAAUGUCGUAAGAUUGUAAACUCCUGUUAGAGGGGAAGAAUAGUACCGGUUGGACCGGUAUAUGACUGUACCCUCAGAGAAAGCCCCGGCUAACUACGUGCCAGCAGCCGCGGUAAUACGUAGGGGGCAAGCGUUGUCCGGAUUUACUGGGUGUAAAGGGCGCGCAGGCGGGAUAAAAAGUCAGUGGUGAAAUCCUACAGCUUAACUGUAGAACUGCCUUUGAUACUUUUAUUCUUGAGUUCGGGAGAGAGAGACGGAAUUCCAGGUGUAGUGGUGAAAUACGUAGAUAUCUGGAAGAACACCAGUUGCGAAGGCGGUCUCUUGGUCCGACACUGACGCUGAGGCGCGAAAGCGUGGGGAGCAAACA